This is a non-coding RNA of Vicia faba (fava bean), 270 nucleotides long. The record is from the annotation of a GenBank genome assembly. Lineage: Eukaryota; Viridiplantae; Streptophyta; Magnoliopsida; Fabales; Fabaceae.
AUGUUUGCGAGAACUCACAGAAGUGAUCUAGGAAAAAGGUGGAGGGUUGUAAACAACGAUGGCGGCCAUCAUGAAAUAAUGUUUAACGAAGAUGAGGAUCUACCACUUGUUGUAAGUGGCUGGAAGGAGCUGCAGGGAUUUGACGAACUACCAAAUGAUGUGUCUGUCGUUCUUGGCUAUUACGGUAACAACACCUUUGAUGUUGUCAGGAUUAAAGAGAAAACAUCAUUCAAGAAAUUACCAACUUUUCAUAGCAGGUUCUUCAACUAG